This is a non-coding RNA of Maylandia zebra (zebra mbuna), 148 nucleotides long. Lineage: Eukaryota; Metazoa; Chordata; Actinopteri; Cichliformes; Cichlidae. The record is from RefSeq and is a predicted model, not a curated record.
GCGUGUGUGGAUUCCCGUUUUGUAAAUAAACUGUCACCUUUUGCUUGCCAGAACUCCGGCUGCAGGUAUAGCCUGUGGCUAAGGGAUCAGAGCAUUCAGCACUUCAGACACUCAACACCCCACCCAGACGACAGCCUUACCAUGACCU